UUUAUUAACAUUUGUGAUCAACUCAUCGUGCCCUCAACUUCAUCGUUAACACUUCGCUCGGGUUUAUAAUGUGCCACUGCAAAAGAUACUGUAUUGAUAAAAAGUGCAAGUGUCGCUCCA
This is a long non-coding RNA of Melitaea cinxia (Glanville fritillary), 120 nucleotides long. RefSeq lists it as uncharacterized. Lineage: Eukaryota; Metazoa; Arthropoda; Insecta; Lepidoptera; Nymphalidae. The transcript has 2 exons. The record is from RefSeq and is a predicted model, not a curated record.